UGGGGGAUAUUGCACAAUGGGCGAAAGCCUGAUGCAGCGACGCCGCGUGGGGGAUGAAGGCCUUCGGGUUGUAAACUUCUUUUGCUCUGAACAAGGCAUGCCUUUGGGGUGUGUUGAGUGUAGGGGUUGAUUAGCGCCGGCUAACUACGUGCCAGCAGCCGCGGUAAUACGUAGGGCGCGAGCGUUGUCCGGAAUUAUUGGGCGUAUAGGGCUUGUAGGUGGCUGGUUGCGUCUGUCGUGAAAGCUCAUGGCUUAACUGUGGGUUUGCGGUGGGUACGGGCUGGCUUGAGUGCAGUAGGGGAGGCUGGAAUUCCUGGUGUAGCGGUGGAAUGCGCAGAUAUCAGGAGGAAUACCGGUGGCGAAGGCGGGUCUCUGGGCUGUUACUGACGCUGAGGAGCGAAAGCGUGGGGAGCGAACAGG
Molecule: ribosomal RNA, 420 nt
Filed under: Fusobacteriota bacterium
Lineage: Bacteria; Fusobacteriati; Fusobacteriota
Description: Fusobacteria bacterium partial 16S ribosomal RNA
Rfam family: Bacterial small subunit ribosomal RNA
Source: RNAcentral